Molecule: ribosomal RNA, 1205 nt
Filed under: metagenome
Description: bacterial SSU rRNA
Rfam family: Bacterial small subunit ribosomal RNA
Source: RNAcentral
GGGUGACCGGCCACAUUGGGACUGAGACACGGCCCAAACUCCUACGGGAGGCAUCAGCUAAGAAUCUUCCGCAAUGGGCGCAAGCCUGACGGAGCGACGCCGCGUGGACGAAGAAUGCCGAGAGGUUGUAAAGUCCUUUUAUUAGCGAAGAAUAAUGCCUGUAGGUAAUGACAGGCAGAUGACGUUAGCUUAUGAAUAAGCUCCGGCCAAUUACGUGCCAGCAGCCGCGGUAACACGUAAGGAGCGAGCGUUGUUCGGAAUUAUUGGGCGUAAAGGGCAUGUAGGCGGUCAUAUAAGUCUGGUGUGAAAGGCUACAGCUUAACUGUGGAAACGCACUGGAAACUGUAUGACUUGAAUCAGAGAGGGGUAACUGGAAUUCCUAGUGUAGGGGUGAAAUCUGUUGAUAUUAGGAAGAACACCGAUGGCGAAGGCAAGUUACUGGCUCAUGAUUGACGCUGAGAUGCGAAAGCGUAGGGAGCGAACAGGAUUAGAUACCCUGGUAGUCUACGCUGUAAACGAUGUGCACUUGGUGUCGGGGUUCUAAGCCUCGGUGCCGUAGCUAACGCGUUAAGUGCACCGCCUGGUGAGUAUGCCGGCAACGGUGAAACUCAAGGAAUUGACGGGGGCCCGCACAAGCGGUGGAGCAUGUGGUUUAAUUCGAUAUACGCGAGAAACCUUACCAGGGUUUGACAUAUUUAUGAUCGGCGUAGAGAUACGCAAUUCCCUUCGGGGACAUUUAUACAGGUGCUGCAUGGUUGUCGUCAGCUCGUGCCGUGAGGUGUUGGGUUAAGUCCCGCAGCGAGCGCAACCCCUAUUGUCUGUUACCAUCAUUAAGUUGGGGACUCAGGCAAGACUGCCGGUGACAAACCGGAGGAAGGUGGGGACGACGUCAAAUCAUCAUGGCCCUUAUAUCCUGGGCUACACACGUGCUACAAUGGCCGGUACAGAGUGACGCGAAGCAGUGAUGUGGAGCAAAACGCAGAAAGCCGGUCUCAGUUCGGAUUGGAGUCUGAAACUCGACUCCAUGAAGGUGGAAUCGCUAGUAAUCGCGCAUCAGCAUGGCGCGGUGAAUACGUUCCCGGGCCUUGUACACACCGCCCGUCACACCACCCGAGUUGGGGGUACCCGAAGUCACUAGUCUAACCAGCAAUGGAGGACGGUGCCGAAGGUAUGCCUGGUAAGGGGGGUGAAGUCGGAACAAGGUA